Molecule: ribosomal RNA, 465 nt
Filed under: uncultured bacterium
Lineage: Bacteria
Description: partial 16S ribosomal RNA
Rfam family: Bacterial small subunit ribosomal RNA
Source: RNAcentral
GACGAACGCUGGCGGCGUGCUUAACACAUGCAAGUCGAACGGAAAGACCCUGCUUUUGUGGGGUGCUCGAGUGGCGAACGGGUGAGUAACACGUGAGUAACCUGCCCUUGACUUUGGGAUAACUUCAGGAAACUGGGGCUAAUACCGGAUAGGAGCUCCUGCUGCAUGGUGGGGGUUGGAAAGUUUCGGCGGUUGGGGAUGGACUCGCGGCUUAUCAGCUUGUUGGUGGGGUAGUGGCUUACCAAGGCUUUGACGGGUAGCCGGCCUGAGAGGGUGACCGGCCACAUUGGGACUGAGAUACGGCCCAGACUCCUACGGGAGGCAGCAGUGGGGAAUAUUGCACAAUGGGAAGCCUGAUGCAGCAACGCCGCGUGCGGGAUGACGGCCUUCGGGUUGUAAACCGCUUUCGCCUGUGACGAAGCGUGAGUGACGGUAAUGGGUAAAGAAGCACCGGCUAACUACGUG